This 465-nucleotide ribosomal RNA is filed under the name uncultured bacterium. RNAcentral describes it as "partial 16S ribosomal RNA". It matches the Rfam family "Bacterial small subunit ribosomal RNA", at positions 28 to 507 of the family's 1533-position model. The record is from RNAcentral.
GACGAACGCUGGCGGCGUGCUUAACACAUGCAAGUCGAACGGAAAGGCCCCUUUGGGGUUCCUCGAGUGGCUAACGGGUGAGUAACACGUGAGUAACCUGCCCUUGACUUCCGGAUAACUUCAGUAAACUGGGUCUAAUACCGGAUAGGAAUCCUUUCUUCAUGGUUGGGGUUGGAAAGCUUCGUCGGUUUUGGAUGGACUGGCUGCUUAUCAGCUUGUUGGUGGGGUAGUGGCUUACCAAGGCUUUGACGGGUAGCCGGCCUGAGAGGGCGACCGGCCAAAUUGGGACUGAGAUACGGCCCAGAAUCCUACGGGAGGCAGCAGUGGGGAAUAUUGCACAAUGGGCGGAAGCCUGAUGCAGCAACGCCGCGGGCGGGAUGACGGCCUUCGGGUUGUAAACCGCUUUCAGCAGGGGCGAAGCUUGUGGUGACGGUACCUGCAGAAGAAGCACCGGCUAACUACGUG